Rosa rugosa (rugosa rose) is the source of this 1320-nucleotide long non-coding RNA. RefSeq lists it as uncharacterized. The record is from RefSeq and is a predicted model, not a curated record. NCBI's taxonomy places the organism in Eukaryota, Viridiplantae, Streptophyta, Magnoliopsida, Rosales, Rosaceae. The transcript is spliced from 4 exons.
UGAGUAAGGUGAGUUUGAGUUUUUUUGUUUCAAGUCUCUUUUGGCAUAACACUCGUUCACCAUUUCCCAUCUUUGCUCGCUCUCUUUUUUUCUUCUUCAGUGACAUACAGUCCCCCUUGUGAUUAAUUUCUCUCAGUCCUUGUUCAAAUCCAAUUACAGUUAAUGGAGCCAACCAUCUUCCAAAAGAAGACCACCUAAAUCGAUCUCUACCGCCAUCACCCAAGUACUCUCUCUCGCUCUCUCUCUCAAACCCUGUUCCUAUCUUAACCUAAAUUUCCCGAUUCUCUCUCUCAACCUUAGCCGUGCCUCAAACUCUUAUCUCAUAUCUCAAAGGAUAUUAAUUAUAAUUGGAAGGACCAAAAGAUGUAGAAAGGGGAUCUUGGUAGCAAAAGGGAUGUUGCUCCAUCCCUAGCAUCUAUCAAUCCCGAUGCAAUUCCGAUAGCAAAAGAGGAUAAAAUUCAUCAAGGCCUCCAGCCCUAGCAAGAUGAUAGAGCACGAAAAGCCAGCGCAAAUCCAGUCAAUUUAGAACAAGCUGAAGAGGAAGAAGCCGGAGAAGCUGGCCAGAGAGGAAGAGAAGUGAUGGCCUAGGGUUUCAAAGAGGGAUAGGCAUUCGAGGAAGCGGAGUAGAAGCAGAGAGAGGGAGUCGAGGCGUCGGAGUAAGAGCAGGGAGAGAUAUAGAGAUAGGGAGAGAGAUAGAGAGAGAAGGAGGAGGAGGAGGAGCAUGUCUGGGAGUGAAUUUGAUGGAGAUAGGAGACGGAGGAGUUGGUCUCCUAGGACUCGGAGAAAGGAGUAGCGGAGGAGCCGAAGCCAGAGCUCGUUGUCGCCGAGGGAGAGGGGUUUGGAGAAAGUAGAGGUAAAUUAAAGAAGGAGAGGAGUGGUGGUGGUGCUGACUAUUACAAAUUGAUUCAAGGCUAUGACAAAAUGUCUGCAGCAGAGAGAGUAAAAGUGAAUAUGAAUUUUCAACUUGCUGAAACCGCUGAGAAGGACACAAACAAAGGCAUGGGUGUAUUCAAUAUGUAAUGCUGAUGGUGUGGAGCUUGGAUGUAUGGGAAAAGCGGGCUAGUAAUUUCUUGAAGAGUCCGGUUGGUCGUUUGUCUAAACCUCCUACUUAGAUUGACAUUAAAUUUCAGAAAGAUGAGAUACACCUUGUAGUUAUACAGAACACCCAAUUAGCCAUAUUUGAAGCAUCAAAGUUGGAGUGCCUUAAGCAGGUCUCUCUGGCAUUCAUUUCAUCAUUAAUUGUGUCUGCUAUAUAUGAUGUUUCAAUACUCAAAUUUUUUGCAUGUUUAUAUUUUGACUCAACUUUCAAGGAAGGCUACA